Molecule: ribosomal RNA, 460 nt
Filed under: uncultured bacterium
Lineage: Bacteria
Description: partial 16S ribosomal RNA
Rfam family: Bacterial small subunit ribosomal RNA
Source: RNAcentral
CCUACGGGGGGCAGCAGUGAGGAAUAUUGGUCAAUGGACGAGAGUCUGAACCAGCCAAGUAGCGUGAAGGAUGACUGCCCUAUGGGUUGUAAACUUCUUUUAUAAAGGAAUAAAACGAGGCACGUGUGCCUGUUUGCAUUUACUUUAUGAAUAAGGAUCGGCUAACUCCGUGCCAUCAGCCGCGGUAAUACGGAGGAUCCGAGCGUUAUCCGGAUUUAUUGGGUUUAAAGUGAGCGUAGAUGGGUUGUUAAGUCAGUUGUGAAAGUUUGCGGCUCAACCGUAAAAGUGCAAUUGAUACUGGCAGUCUUGAGUACAGUUGAGGUAGGCGGAAUUCGUGGUGUAGCGGUGAAAUGCUUAGAUAUCACGAAGAACCCCGAUUGCGAAGGCAGCCUGCUGGACGACAACUGACGGUGAGGCGCGAAAGCGUGGGGAGCAAACAGGAUUAGAUACCCCAGUAGUC